AUUGAACGCUGGCGGCAGGCCUAACACAUGCAAGUCGAACGGUAACAGGAAGCAGCUUGCUGCUUCGCUGACGAGUGGCGGACGGGUGAGUAAUAUCUGGGAAGCUGCCUGAUGGAGGGGGAUAACUACUGGAAACGGUAGCUAAUACCGCAUAAUGUCGCAAGACCAAAGAGGGGGACCUUCGGGCCUCUUGCCAUCGGAUGUGCCCAGAUGGGAUUAGCUUGUUGGUGGGGUAACGGCUCACCAAGGCGACGAUCCCUAGCUGGUCUGAGAGGAUGACCAGCCACACUGGAACUGAGACACGGUCCAGACUCCUACGGGAGGCAGCAGUGGGGAAUAUUGCACAAAGGGCGCAAGCCUGAUGCAGCCAUGCCGCGUGUAUGAAGAAGGCCUUCGGGUUGUAAAGUACUUUCAGCGGGGAGGAAGGGAGUAAAGUUAAUACCUUUGCUCAUUGACGUUACCCGCAGAAGAAGCACCGGCUAACUCCGUG
RNAcentral lists this ribosomal RNA (490 nucleotides) under uncultured bacterium. RNAcentral's name for it is "partial 16S ribosomal RNA". It matches the Rfam family "Bacterial small subunit ribosomal RNA", at positions 30 to 507 of the family's 1533-position model. The record is from RNAcentral.